GACGAACCGAGCGAACGUUGUUCGGAAUCACUGGGCUUAAAGGGCGCGUAGGCGGGCUGUCAAGUUUGGGGUGAAAUCCCGCGGCUCAACCGCGGAACUGCCUCAAAUACUGACGGUCUCGAGGGAGGUAGGGGCGAGCGGAACUGAUGGUGGAGCGGUGAAAUGCGUUGAUAUCAUCAGGAACUCCGGUGGCGAAGGCGGCUCGCUGGACCUCUUCUGACGCUGAGGCGCGAAAGCCAGGGGAGCAAACGGG
RNAcentral lists this ribosomal RNA (253 nucleotides) under uncultured bacterium. RNAcentral describes it as "partial 16S ribosomal RNA". It matches the Rfam family "Bacterial small subunit ribosomal RNA", at positions 524 to 776 of the family's 1533-position model. The record is from RNAcentral.